CGCCCUCGCCCAGAGUCUUCCCGGGAUUGGCUGCGGGCCCCGCGACCCUCCUGCUUCCCUCCCCUCCCCGCCCCGCCCCGCCCCGCCUCUCUGGUUUGUGCGCCCGGCGCAGGUCGCAGGCCUCUUUGUCAGCUGGAGUUGCGUGGGCUGACGCGCCACUACUUUGUAGCAGGUUUCGGGCGGGCCACGCGUGCGGCGACUGGAACCCAACCCUAGCCGACCUUGAGCUCCAGUAGUUCGUCUCUUACGUCUGCGGAAGUGCAGCUGCCUCAGUUCCUAGCGCAGGCUGACAACUACAGGUACAAGCCAUUGAAGCUGGAAUGUCCUGUUGCUGGUAUUUCAAUUGACUUAAGCCAACUAUCCCUUUAGUUACAAUAGGAAAGUGCCUCUAAUAAGGCCAAAUAUGCGUACUAACUUAAAGCAACCACGUGUCCGUGCAUUGCCACAUGAGCUAGAGCAGUGACAAAACUGGUGGCAACAGGGCAGUGUAGCAGGUGCUUCAUGUUCCCCUUUUCAACCUUUUCAUUCAAUUGUCACAACUCAGAGGUGGAUUCUGUUAGGGACAAGCUGCCCCAGGACCACGCCGCCCCCGCCAACUCAAUGCAGCUGACCCUUACCCUGAAUACUCUGCAGCUGCAUUCCUGAACCGUUAUCUAGGCGCCAUAGCAAGGUCACCAGACUUGCUACACCGAAGCCCUCCAGGUGGCAUGGGGGAGGUCAUGAGAAAUGUGGAUAAACCUAAGUUACACCCCCUUGUAAGUUCCUGUUUUCACAAGAUAAUAUAUUGUAAGCCAGUCAUGAGAUUAUAUGUGGUAAAGUUAAUUGACUAACAACCCCAGGGUCUCUCUCCCCCAUAUAAACCCCUCAUUUUGUAAGCUCAGGGCUGCCACCUCUGACUGGUGGAGAAGCCCAGCAGGUUAAUAAACUUACUUGGCUUAACCUUGGGUCUCUCGUCUUUUCUCUCGGCUAACCUUACAGAUUCUAUUCUCCCAUUUCACAGGUAAAGAAAUGGAUUAGGGAUAACUCAAGUUUCAUCACAUAUAUUAAUAUAAUUAGAUUAAGGAUCUCAGGAUGGGGAGAUUACCUUGGAUAAUCCUAGUGGGCCCUAAAUGCGAUCACAAGUUCCCUCAUGAGAGGGAGCCUGAGGGAGAUCCACACACAGCAGAUUGGAAGAUGCUGGCCUUGAAGAUCGGAGUGAGGCAGCCCCCAGGAGCUGGGAGAUGCCAAGGAACACAUUCCCCGUCAGAGCCUCCUGAGGAGCAUCAUUUGAUUUGGCUCAGUGAAACUGAUUUCUGACUUCUGGCCUUCAGAACUGAGAAUAAAUUGCUGUUUUAAGCCACCAAGUUGUAAUUUGUUACAGCAGCCUCUAAGAUCACAAAUAUAGCUGGGGCAAGAACCCCACCACCUCA
Symphalangus syndactylus (siamang) is the source of this 1409-nucleotide long non-coding RNA. RefSeq lists it as uncharacterized. The record is from RefSeq and is a predicted model, not a curated record. Lineage: Eukaryota; Metazoa; Chordata; Mammalia; Primates; Hylobatidae.